This 465-nucleotide ribosomal RNA is filed under the name uncultured bacterium. Its description in RNAcentral is "partial 16S ribosomal RNA". It matches the Rfam family "Bacterial small subunit ribosomal RNA", at positions 339 to 795 of the family's 1533-position model. The record is from RNAcentral.
CUACGGGUCGCAGCAGUGGGGAAUAUUGCACAAUGGGCGCAAGCCUGAUGCAGCCAUGCCGCGUGUAUGAAGAAGGCCUUCGGGUUGUAAAGUACUUUCAGCGGGGAGGAAGGGAGUAAAGUUAAUACCUUUGCUCAUUGACGUUACCCGCAGAAGAAGCACCGGCUAACUCCGUGCCAGCAGCCGCGGUAAUACGGAGGGGUGCAAGCGUUAAUCGGAAUUACUGGGCGUAAAGCGCACGCAGGCGGUUUGUUAAGUCAGAUGUGAAAUCCCCGGGCUCAACCUGGGAACUGCCUCUGAUACUGGCAAGCUUGAGUCUCGGAGAGGGGGGUAGAAUUCCAGGUGUAGCGGUGAAAUGCGUAGAGAUCUGGAGGAAUACCGGUGGCGAAGGCGGCCCCCUGGACGAAGACUGACGCUCAGGUGCGAAAGCGUGGGGAGCAAACAGGAUUAGAUACCCCGGUAGUC